UAAAAGUGUAAAACAUACUAUUUAACAAAAAUCAAGAGAUUGUCUCAACUUAAUCCAUAACUUAAAAUUAACAUAACAACAAAAUAUUGUCAAUUAUCAAGUUAUUUAAUUAAGUUAGCUAUCUCUUCCACAUCUUCUACAUCUUCUUCAACUUCUUCCAAAUCUUCAAACUCUUCCUCAAAUAUCACACCUUCAAUUUGAGGUUCAUCUAUUGAAAGCUCGGUUAGAUCAUUAGUUGUCUCAUCAAUAUCAAAUCGAUCUCCAC
RNAcentral lists this long non-coding RNA (265 nucleotides) under Solanum tuberosum (potato). RNAcentral describes it as "long non-coding RNA (STUB_LNC005736)". Lineage: Eukaryota; Viridiplantae; Streptophyta; Magnoliopsida; Solanales; Solanaceae. The record is from RNAcentral.